AAAGGAAUUGACGGGGACCCGCACAAGCGGUGGAUGAUGUGGUUUAAUUCGAUGCAACGCGAAAACCCUUACCCACCUUUGACAUGUACGGAAGUUACCAGAGAUGGUUUCGUGCUCGAAAGAGAACCGUAACACAGGUGCUGCAUGGCUGUCGUCAGCUCGUGUCGUGAGAUGUUGGGUUAAGUCCCGCAACGAGCGCAACCCUUGUCAUUAGUUGCUACGAAAGGGCACUCUAAUGAGACUGCCGGUGACAAACCGGAGGAAGGUGGGGAUGACGUCAAGUCCUCAUGGCCCUUAUAGGUGGGGCUACACACGUCAUACAAUGGCUGGUACAGAGGGUUGCCAACCCGCGAGGGGGAGCUAAUCCCAUAAAACCAGUCGUAGUCCGGAUCGCAGUCUGCAACUCGACUGCGUGAAGUCGGAAUCGCUAGUAAUCGCGGAUCAGAAUGUCGCGGUGAAUACGUUCCCGGGUCUUGUACACACCGCCCGUCACA
RNAcentral lists this ribosomal RNA (494 nucleotides) under uncultured Burkholderiales bacterium. Its description in RNAcentral is "bacterial SSU rRNA". It matches the Rfam family "Bacterial small subunit ribosomal RNA", at positions 903 to 1401 of the family's 1533-position model. Lineage: Bacteria; Pseudomonadati; Pseudomonadota; Betaproteobacteria; Burkholderiales. The record is from RNAcentral.